CCUAGUGGCGAACGGGUGAGUAACACGUGAGGAACCUGCCCCGAAGACCGGGAUAACUCUUCGAAAGGAGAGCUAAUACCGGAUGCCCUCUACUGAUCGCAUGGUCGGUUGAGAAAAGGAUUCUGCUUCGGGAGGGCCUCGCGGCCUAUCAGCUUGUUGGUGAGGUAACGGCUCACCAAGGCGACGACGGGUAGCUGGUCUGAGAGGACGAUCAGCCACACUGGGACUGAGACACGGCCCAGACUCCUACGGGAGGCAGCAGUGGGGAAUCUUGCGCAAUGGGCGAAAGCCUGACGCAGCAACGCCGCGUGCGGGAUGAAGGCCUUCGGGUUGUAAACCGCUUUCAGUGGGGACGAAUUCAGACGGUACCCACAGAAGAAGCCCCGGCCAACUACGUGCCAGCAGCCGCGGUAACACGUAGGGGGCGAGCGUUGUCCGGAAUCAUUGGGCGUAAAGAGCUCGUAGGCGGCUCAGUAAGUCGGGUGUGAAACCCCCAGGCUCAACCUGGGGACGCCACCCGAUACUGCUGUGGCUAGAGUCCAGUAGGGGAGUGUGGAAUUCCCGGUGUAGCGGUGAAAUGCGCAGAUAUCGGGAGGAACACCAGC
RNAcentral lists this ribosomal RNA (605 nucleotides) under uncultured bacterium. RNAcentral's name for it is "bacterial SSU rRNA". It matches the Rfam family "Bacterial small subunit ribosomal RNA", at positions 91 to 713 of the family's 1533-position model. The record is from RNAcentral.